GCCGGGAUAUUCUGAACAGGGUGUAUAUAAUCCUCCAUAUAGCAACAUUUCCCCUCGUUUAAAUAUGCAUUAUGGUAAAAAGGCACCUGUUGCAGCUGAUUCUGCUGUGAGGAAUCACCCUUUUCAUGGAUCAUUGUCACAACACAGUGGUGAUUUGACAGAAAUGGAGAUGUUUGAUAGAGAAGUUAACAUGGAUCUGGAAUUGCUUCAAGUCAGUUUCCCUGGACUAUCUGAACAGUCCCUUACUGAUGUCUAUUUUGCUAACAAGGGUGAUUUGGAUGCUGCUAUAGACAUGCUGAGCCAGCUUGAGAACAAACAUCCACCUGAUGUCGAAUAUGACCCUGAAAGUCUCCCAGAUACUUUGGACAUCGGUGAUAUCUCCGAAUCCGGGUUUGUAGCUGUCGAUCAACCCUCUUUCAGAAUGAAGAAUGUAGCCAAUGAUGCAAGUACUUCAU
RNAcentral lists this unclassified non-coding RNA (455 nucleotides) under Hevea brasiliensis (rubber tree). Lineage: Eukaryota; Viridiplantae; Streptophyta; Magnoliopsida; Malpighiales; Euphorbiaceae. The record is from RNAcentral.